GCUCGAUGUACCAUUCUGAAGACAAGUUUUAUUUAUUCUUGUUGAUUGAUGGGUUGGGUUUUCGAAAACUGUCCUUAUAAAAGACAGCAGCGCCGUGUAUUUUUGUGGAUACCUGCUUUUGUUUGGUCCGAUACGGAAGCAGCAUGAAGCUUUGUGUUCCAACCGCCUUGGUGUUUUUAUGCCUAUUGCAGUCUGCUUUAUGUCAGUUGUCUGCCAUUACCGGACAACAACUUGGCUUAUUUCUGCUGGGAACAGGACUUGGCGCAGCAGCAUUUGGCGGUAGAAGAGGGGGUGGAUAUAUUCCUCCACCGUUCUUUCCACCGUACAUUCCACCUCCGUUCAUUGGACCAUAUCCGCCACCACCACAUUUCUUCAGGUCUCCACCAUUUUAUGGAUAACCUUAAAUGGCUGGUGCAAAAUAAAGGACACAUGUGCUAUAGUCAAACGGAAUCAUUUGAACCUUGACCAUAAUUCCAAAGAAUUUAAUAGAAGUUGAAGUAUCUUACAUAUAUUAUAUAUAGAAAAUAAAAAAAAAACGUGUUAGCAAAUCGCUA
Long non-coding RNA from Pecten maximus, 554 nucleotides. RefSeq lists it as uncharacterized. NCBI's taxonomy places the organism in Eukaryota, Metazoa, Mollusca, Bivalvia, Pectinida, Pectinidae. The record is from RefSeq and is a predicted model, not a curated record. The transcript is spliced from 3 exons.